GGGCGAUUGGCUCAGUGGUAGAGCAUCUCGUUUACACCGAGGGGGUCGGCGGUUCAAACCCGUCAUCGCCCACCA
RNAcentral lists this transfer RNA (75 nucleotides) under Alphaproteobacteria bacterium. RNAcentral describes it as "tRNA-Val". It matches the Rfam family "tRNA". From Rfam's summary of the family: Transfer RNA (tRNA) molecules are approximately 80 nucleotides in length. Their secondary structure includes four short double-helical elements and three loops (D, anti-codon, and T loops). The record is from RNAcentral. Lineage: Bacteria; Pseudomonadati; Pseudomonadota; Alphaproteobacteria.